This 274-nucleotide ribosomal RNA is filed under the name uncultured bacterium. RNAcentral's name for it is "partial 16S ribosomal RNA". It matches the Rfam family "Bacterial small subunit ribosomal RNA", at positions 523 to 796 of the family's 1533-position model. The record is from RNAcentral.
AUACGGAGGGUGCAAGCGUUAAUCGGAAUUACUGGGCGUAAAGCGUACGUAGGCGGUUCGUUAAGUUAGAUGUGAAAGCCCCGGGCUUAACCUGGGAACUGCAUUUAAAACUGGCGAACUAGAGUUGAGUAGAGGGGAGUGGAAUUUCAGGUGUAGCGGUGAAAUGCGUAGAGAUCUGAAGGAACACCAGUGGCGAAGGCGACUCCCUGGACUCGAACUGACGCUGAGGUACGAAAGCGUGGGUAGCAAACGGAAUUAGAUACCCUUGUAGUCC